Transfer RNA from Camelus ferus (Wild Bactrian camel), 72 nucleotides. It matches the Rfam family "tRNA". From Rfam's summary of the family: Transfer RNA (tRNA) molecules are approximately 80 nucleotides in length. Their secondary structure includes four short double-helical elements and three loops (D, anti-codon, and T loops). Lineage: Eukaryota; Metazoa; Chordata; Mammalia; Artiodactyla; Camelidae. The record is from Rfam.
GAGGGUAUAGCUCACUGAUAGAGCACAUGCUUAUCAUGCAUGAGGUCCUGGGUUCAAUCCCCAGUACCUCCA